UUUUGAAGUUAAUCAUUAUUCUAAAUUUAAAUUUUGAAAUAAACCAUUAUUGUGUUUGAUUUUAAAUUUUCAAUUUCGAAGUCAAUUAUUAUGUUAAAUUUAAAUUUGAAAGUUUGCCAUUAAUGUGUUUGAUUUUAAAUUUCGAAUCUGUAAAUUGAAUUUAAAUUUGAAAAAUUGAAUUAUGUCUGUGUUAGACUUUCCUAAUAAGUUUGCUUGAUUUACGGGAUUGGAUAUUAGUGAUUUGAUUUUCAGAUUUUAAAUUUUAAAUUUUGAAGUCAAUCAUUAUUUUAAAUUUAAAUUUUGAAGUAAUGGCAAUCUGAGUCUGAUUUUUUUCGUGAUUAAUAUCCGCUUGAGUAACCCAAUCCGAGUCUGAUUUUUUCGUUAACGAUUCUGGUAAACUUUCCCGAUUUGGGUUUUCUGCAAGGCUAAUCAUCUAAAUUAAUUUGUUAUUUUUAUGGUUUACCAUUGCAUAAGUUAGUAUAAUUUGUUGACAAAGUUUUGUUUUGUGGGAUAGUAGUCAUAAAUUGAGUAAUAUUCAAGGUUUAUGUGUUUUUAUUUUGAUUCAUUAAAUAAGAUGUGUUUGAGUAAUAUUCAAGGUUUAUGUAUAUAUGAGAUUUUGUUGAUUGGCAUAAGGUGUUAGAUAAGAUGUGUUUGAAGUUGUGAAGAUGAAUAAGUGAGACAUGUGUAGCAGAUAUUAGUGAGUGCACAACACAUUAGUUAGGGUUUUGAAUUAUUACUACAGGUUAGUGAUGUUAGAGAUUGUGUUUUGAGAAAUGUGUAGAUUGAAUUAUGUUUGUGUUUGAUUGUGACACCUUUGAUUGUGCAUGAAAUUGCUGGUUAUAUGAGAUUUUGUUGAUUGUAGAC
This 864-nucleotide long non-coding RNA is filed under the name Helianthus annuus (common sunflower). Its description in RNAcentral is "sRNA HanXRQr2_Chr06g0264951". Lineage: Eukaryota; Viridiplantae; Streptophyta; Magnoliopsida; Asterales; Asteraceae. The record is from RNAcentral.